RNAcentral lists this ribosomal RNA (519 nucleotides) under uncultured bacterium. RNAcentral's name for it is "bacterial SSU rRNA". It matches the Rfam family "Bacterial small subunit ribosomal RNA", at positions 372 to 882 of the family's 1533-position model. The record is from RNAcentral.
UGGACGAAAGUCUGAUGGAGCAACGCCGCGUGAGUGAAGAAGGAUUUCGGUUCGUAAAACUCUGUUGCAAGGGAAGAACAAGUAGCGUAGUAACUGGCGCUACCUUGACGGUACCUUGUUAGAAAGCCACGGCUAACUACGUGCCAGCAGCCGCGGUAAUACGUAGGUGGCAAGCGUUGUCCGGAAUUAUUGGGCGUAAAGCGCGCGCAGGUGGUUCCUUAAGUCUGAUGUGAAAGCCCCCGGCUCAACCGGGGAGGGUCAUUGGAAACUGGGGAACUUGAGUGCAGAAGAGGAUAGUGGAAUUCCAAGUGUAGCGGUGAAAUGCGUAGAGAUUUGGAGGAACACCAGUGGCGAAGGCGACUGUCUGGUCUGUAACUGACACUGAGGCGCGAAAGCGUGGGGAGCAAACAGGAUUAGAUACCCUGGUAGUCCACGCCGUAAACGAUGAGUGCUAAGUGUUGGGGGGUUUCCGCCCCUCAGUGCUGCAGCUAACGCAUUAAGCACUCCGCCUGGGGAGUA